GAUGAAGAACGCAGCGAAAUGCGAUAAGUAAUGUGAAUUGCAGAAUUCAGUGAAUCAUCGAAUCUUUGAACGCACAUUGCGCCCGCCAGUAUUCUGGCGGGCAUGCCUGUCUGAGCGUCAUUUCAACCCUCAUGCCCCUAGGGCGUGGUGUUGGGGAUCGGCCAAAGCCCGCGAGGGACGGCCGGCCCCUAAAUCUAGUGGCGGACCCGUCGUGGCCUCCUCUGCGAAGUAGUGAUAUUCCGCAUCGGAGAGCGAUGAGCCCCUGCCGUUAAACCCCCAACUUUCCAAGGUUGACCUCAGAUCAGGUAGGAAUACCCGCUGAACUUAAGCAUAUCAAUAAACGGAGGA
RNAcentral lists this unclassified non-coding RNA (348 nucleotides) under soil metagenome. Its description in RNAcentral is "partial contains 5.8S ribosomal RNA, internal transcribed spacer 2, and large subunit ribosomal RNA". The stretch from base 1 to 120 matches the Rfam family "5.8S ribosomal RNA", at positions 35 to 154 of the family's 154-position model. The record is from RNAcentral.